AAAAAAAUUCUAUUUUAAUUAAUUUGCAUAUAAAUAAAUUUUUUAUGAUUUAAAAAAUUUAUUUAAGGUUUAUUUUACAUAUAAAUUUUAGUAUAUUAUUUUAUAUUUAAAUAAUAUUUAAAAUUAUUUAGUAGUAAUUAAUAUUAAAAAUUUAAGGAAUUAAGAUUUAGUAAUAUUAAAAUUAAUAACAAAUUUUGUGCCAGCAGUUGCGGUUAUACAAAAAUUAAUUUAAAUUUUAUUAGUAAUUAAUAAAUAAUAAAAUUAUAAUUUAAAUAUAAAAAUUAGAUUAUUAGGUGAAAUUUUAAUUUAAUAAAAAAUUAUAUAAAUUUAUGAAUUAAUAAAUUUUUAAAAAGACUAGGAUUAGAUACCCUAUUAUUUUAAUUUUAAAUUAAUAAUACUAAAAUAGUAUAUAAUAUUUUAUUGAAACUUAAAUAAUUUGGCGGUAUUUUAGUUCAUUUAGAGGAAUCUGUUUAAUAAUUGAUAAUCCACGAAUAAAUUUACUUAAAUUAUAAUUUUAUAUAUCGUUGUUAGAAAAAUAUUUUUUAAUAAUAAAUAAUAUUUUAAUUUUUUUAAUAUAAAUUAAAUCAGAUCAAGAUGUAGAAUAUAUUUAAGAAUAUAAUGGAUUACAAUAAAUUAAUUUAUAUGAAUAUUAUUUUUUAAUAAAUAAUUGAAGGUGGAUUUAAAUGUAAUUUUAUUUAAUUUAAUAAAAUGAUUUAUAAUUAAAGUAUGUACAUAUUGCCCGUCGCUUUCAUAUAAUAAAUAAUUUUAUUAUUUAAAAUUGAAAUAAGUCGUAACAAAGUAGAGGUACUGGAAAGUGUUUCUAGAAUGAA
Molecule: non-coding RNA, 830 nt
Filed under: Cyclidia fractifasciata
Lineage: Eukaryota; Metazoa; Arthropoda; Insecta; Lepidoptera; Drepanidae
Source: RNAcentral